This 692-nucleotide ribosomal RNA is filed under the name uncultured bacterium. RNAcentral describes it as "bacterial SSU rRNA". It matches the Rfam family "Bacterial small subunit ribosomal RNA", at positions 94 to 764 of the family's 1533-position model. The record is from RNAcentral.
AGUGGCGAACCGGUGAGUAACGCGUGGGUAACCUGCCCUUAAGAUUGGGACAACAGCUGGAAACGGCUGCUAAUACCGAAUGGAUUUACCGGAAGGCAUCUUCUGGUAAGGAAAGCUGGCCUCUUUACAAUGCUAGCGCUUAAGGAUGGACCCGCGUCUGAUUAGCUAGUUGGUAGGGUAACGGCCUACCAAGGCGACGAUCAGUAGCCGGCCUGAGAGGGUAAUCGGCCACACUGGGACUGAGACACGGCCCAGACUCCUACGGGAGGCAGCAGUGGGGAAUCUUCCGCAAUGGACGAAAGUCUGACGGAGCAACGCCGCGUGUAUGAAGAAGGCCUUCGGGUUGUAAAAUACUGUUGUUAGGGAAGAACGGCAUCUGUGUAAAUAAUGCAGGUGAUUGACGGUACCUAACGAGGAAGCCCCGGCUAACUACGUGCCAGCAGCCGCGGUAAUACGUAGGGGGCGAGCGUUGUCCGGAAUUAUUGGGCGUAAAGGGCGCGUAGGCGGCCGUUUAAGUCUGAUGUGAAAGUGCGGGGCUUAACCCCGUAAAGCAUUGGAAACUGGAUGGCUUGAGGACAGGAGAGGAAAGUGGAAUUCCACGUGUAGCGGUGAAAUGCGUAGAUAUGUGGAGGAACACCAGUGGCGAAGGCGACUUUCUGGACUGUAACUGACGCUGAGGCGCGAAAGCGUGG